Non-coding RNA from Pelobates cultripes (western spadefoot toad), 1642 nucleotides. The record is from the annotation of a GenBank genome assembly. Lineage: Eukaryota; Metazoa; Chordata; Amphibia; Anura; Pelobatidae.
UGCUGCAUUAUGAUCACGUUUUUAUUCUAAUUGGUAAUACAAAACUACUGACCAGUGGUAGUGCUUCAUUUUUCAAAAAGCCAUUAAAACAAGAUGGUGAACACGAUUGAACAUAUAACAUGCUACAAAAGACAAAAACAUGUAAUUCUCUCAUUUUAAUCCAUUCUAGCCCAAUGACAGCCUACAUACCAUCUAAAAAAAAAUAAGUGUGUGCAGUGAUGCUAAAUAAUUGCAUUUUUUGCUCAACAUACAAAAUCAUUACAUGGAUCAUUUUUUAAUAUAAAUAUUUUCGGAGGCUUAUUCACAUUCAUUUUUGUCAUGGGUUCUGGCUCUUCGUCAUUAUGUAACACUGGUCUUUGAGCUUUUUAUUUAACAGUCUAUUCUUUUAAAAAUGUAACAGUACAAAAACAAGCAUUGAUGUUAAAAUAACAGGUGUGCAUAUAUAAAAUAUAAGAGUCCAGUUUACAAGGUAUUUGUAAUUAGAAGAAAAUUAACCAAGUUGAACUGUACUGAUCCUUUAAUAUCAACAUGGUUACUAAAUAAAUGUGAAAAUCGCUAUGCUGAAAUGAAAAGGUUAAGAACCUCACAUGUCAUUGGAUCUCAGUUAAAAUCAGUGAGUUGCAUAUACAAAAACAAAACAAAAAUAAAGCGCUUUAUUCUUUCAGUGUUGAACGCAUCAAUGAAGUCACACUUUUGUGUCUGAGAGGUCGCUGCUUGUUGCUAUGGCUAUAAAAGAUAUGCCACAAAGUGUUAUGACUCCAUUGUGUGUGUAUACACACAUUGUUAUAAAUGUAAGGAUGUUCUGUCAGAGCAAGCACUGAUGAUGGAAGUAUCUGUACAUGGAUAUUGCUGCGUCAUUAAACCCUCUGCAGCGUGAGAAUUUCAGAAGGGAAUAGGGGAAACUGGAAAGGCUUUAGCACAGCUUACCCUUUAAGAAUGGCGUUCUACAACCAAGGUUUGAGACUUCUCUUAAAAAAAGAUUAAGAGGGCAGUCUUAAAGAUUGUGAUCACAUGCACAUUAACACAAACUCAAAUCAGCUUCUCAACGCAUGUUUGUCAAAAAAAAGGCACGGUUAUUUAUGUUCAGACAGCCUCAGACUCAUCCGAAAAAGUGCAAGUGUAGGACAUGGUGUGCAAGAUUUACAUAAAGUGGUAUUAAAUCCAACUGUAUUGUAUGUUUAAUCAUCAGCCUUUCUAUGCUAGAUAACAUGGAAUAACAGUUGCCCCUUUGGCAAUUUAUGGAAAAGGAAGAGGGGGGAAAAUAUAAAAUAAAACAUUUUCAAGUUCCUUCAUGCGUCAGAACAAUCCGACAUCUUGCAGCCACUUGUGAGGCGUGCACUAAUUCAUAUUGUACAAUGAUGUAAAUAAUUACUACAUUGUAAUCUGUGCAACAUACUGCGCAUCAGGGGGAAUCCUAGCAAUAUGUAACGCAUGCAAGCAGAUUAUAUUACCAUAUCUUGUAGUAGAAAUUGACUAGGCCAAAGGUAGUGGUUAUUCCAGACUUGAAUAUACCACCCUCCUAGUGGUCAGUCACACCUUUAAAUGACACUCCAGUGGUGUCAAGGGGCAUAACCCCAAAAUGGAAGUAUUAGAAAAUGACUUUCCUGUUACUGGUCACUGAAACCAGAACCAGGACUGUCAG